Molecule: long non-coding RNA, 1666 nt
Filed under: Pan troglodytes (chimpanzee)
Lineage: Eukaryota; Metazoa; Chordata; Mammalia; Primates; Hominidae
Description: long non-coding RNA NONPTRT012494
Source: RNAcentral
CUUUGCGCGCCUACCCGGCGGUCGUGGGUUGAGGUGGGGGGGUCAAGAAUUGUUGUCUAGCAGCCCUCUCCCCGCUGCCCUGUCCUGGCCGAGGCAAAGGCCGCGUGCGCUCCGCGUCUGCCAGGCUUUAGGGCUGCGCGGACACUGGGUGGGUGGUGGGCCGAGGCAACCGGAAGGUCCUGGCCGCCUUUCCGGUCUCCUCAGCACCCUGGAGCGCCGCCCUCGGGUUUCAGUCUCCUGGAUCUGCGGGUCGGUCUCGGCGGGCGGAUUACUCCUCGCCCACAACCUCGAGGCCCCGGGGUCAACCGCGCCCUCCGGGCGGGCAACCCAGGGUUUAGUCAGAUUCCUCCUGACCCACCGCUUCUGGGAAAGAGGCGCCUCCCGUCAGGAGGAUGCUGAGUUCCUCAUGACUGGACCAGUGAGUGUCCACUCCCUGGUCCCUGGCGGGAGAGGCGGGACCCCCACGCCCUCCUGGCGCUCUUUGCAGAGAUGUUCCUCAGGCCCAAUCCGGGAUUUGGGAUGUCUGUGCGUGCUGUGGAGCGGAGAGUUUGCAACAUGGUCUCACUUUGUCACCCAGGCUGGAAUGCAUUGGCAUGAACACGUCUCACUGCAGCCUCAACCUCCCAGGCUGAAGUGACCCUCCAACUCUGCUUUCACAGUAGCUGUGAUAUGGUUUGGCUGUGUCCCCACCCACAUCUCAUCUUAAAACCCAGUGGGAGGUAAUUGAAUCAUGGGGACAAGUCUUUCCUGUGCUGUUCUUGUGAUAGUGAAUAAGUCUCAUGAGAUCUGAUGGUUUUUAAAAGAGUUCUGGCUGGGCAUGGUGGUGGGCACCUGUAAUCCAAACUACUAGGGAGGCUGAGGCAGAGUGAAUUGCUUGAACCUGGGAGAAGGAGGUUGCAGUGAGCUGAGAUUGCACCGCUGCACUCCAGCCUGGGCAACAUUGGAGACUCUGUCUCCAAAAAAAAAAAAAAGGAGUUCCUCUGCACAAGCUCUCUCUCUUUGCCUGCUGCCAUCCAUGUAAGAUGUGACUUGCUCUUCCUUGCCCUCACUAUGAUUGUGAGUCUUUCCCCAGCCAUGUGGAACUGUAAGUCCAAAUAAACCUCUUUCUUUUGUAAAUUGCCCAGUCUUGGGUAUGUCUAUCAGCAGCAUGGAAAUGGACUAAUACAGUAAAUUGGUACCAGUAGAGUGGGGUGUUGCUGAAAAGAUACCUGAAAAUGUGAAAGUGACUUUGGAACUGGGUAGCAGGCAAACAUUGGAACAGUUUGGAGGGCUCAGAAGAAGACAGGAAAAUGUAGGAAAGUUUGGAACUUCCUAGAGACUUGUUGAAUGGCAUUGACAAAAAUGCUAAUAGUGAUACGAACAAUAAGAUCCAGUCUGAGGUGGUCUCAGAUGGAGAUGAGGAACUUGUUGGGAACUGGAGCAAAGGUGACUCUUGUUAUGUUUUAGCAAAGAGACUGGUGACAUUUUGCCCCUGCCUGAGAGAUUUGUGGGACUUUGAACUUGAGGGAGAUGAUUUAGGGUAUCUGGUGGAAGACAUUUCUUUUUUUUUUUUUUUUUGUGACGGAGUCUUGCACUGUCGCCCGGGGUGGAGUGCAAUGGUCUGAUCUCAGCUUACUGGGUUCAAGCAAUUCUGUCUCAGCCUCCCGAGUAGCUGGGAUUACAGGCG